UGAGGAAUAUUGCGCAAUGGGGGGAACCCUGACGCAGCGACGCCGCGUGAGUGAUGAAGGCCUUCGGGUUGUAAAGCUCUGUCAGAGGGAAAGAAAGGGGAUGCGGAAUAAUACCCGCAGCCAUUGACGGUACCCUCGGAGGAAGCACCGGCUAACUCCGUGCCAGCAGCCGCGGUAAUACGGAGGGUGCAAGUGUUAUUCGGAAUCACUGGGCGUAAAGAGCACGUAGGCGGAUGGGUAAGUCAGAUGUGAAAUCCCGGGGCUGAACGGCGGAAAUGCAUUUGAGACUGCCCGUCUUGAGUGUGGUAGAGGGGGAUGGAAUGCCCGGUGUAGAGGUGAAAUUCGUAGAUAUCGGGAGGAACACCAGAGGCGAAGGCGAGCCCCUGGGCCAUUACUGACGCUGAGGUGCGAAAGCGUGGGGAGCAAACAG
This 430-nucleotide ribosomal RNA is filed under the name uncultured bacterium. Its description in RNAcentral is "bacterial SSU rRNA". It matches the Rfam family "Bacterial small subunit ribosomal RNA", at positions 355 to 775 of the family's 1533-position model. The record is from RNAcentral.